Molecule: unclassified non-coding RNA, 200 nt
Filed under: soil metagenome
Description: partial contains internal transcribed spacer 2 and large subunit ribosomal RNA
Source: RNAcentral
UUCGAGCGUCAUUUCACCACUCAAGCCUCGCUUGCUAUUGGGCGCCGCGGUUCGCCGCACGCCUCAAUGUCUCCGGCUGGGCCGUCCGUCUCAAAGCGUUGUGGCAACUCAAUCCGCUUCUGGGACCGGGCGACCCCGGCCGUUAAAACACCCCACACAAGGUUGACCUCGGAUCAGGUAGGGAUACCCGCUGAACUUAA